This 345-nucleotide ribosomal RNA is filed under the name uncultured bacterium. RNAcentral describes it as "bacterial SSU rRNA". It matches the Rfam family "Bacterial small subunit ribosomal RNA", at positions 10 to 355 of the family's 1533-position model. The record is from RNAcentral.
AGUUUGAUCCUGGCUCAGAUUGAACGCUGGCGGCAUGCCUUACACAUGCAAGUCGAACGGCAGCAUAGGAGCUUGCUCCUGAUGGCGAGUGGCGAACGGGUGAGUAAUAUAUCGGAACGUGCCCUAGAGUGGGGGAUAACUAGUCGAAAGACUAGCUAAUACCGCAUACGAUCUACGGAUGAAAGUGGGGGAUCGCAAGACCUCAUGCUCCUGGAGCGGCCGAUAUCUGAUUAGCUAGUUGGUGGGGUAAAAGCCUACCAAGGCAACGAUCAGUAGCUGGUCUGAGAGGACGACCAGCCACACUGGGACUGAGACACGGCCCAGACUCCUACGGGAGGCAGCAGU